Molecule: ribosomal RNA, 730 nt
Filed under: uncultured bacterium
Lineage: Bacteria
Description: bacterial SSU rRNA
Rfam family: Bacterial small subunit ribosomal RNA
Source: RNAcentral
AGGGAUCUUCGGAUCCUGAGUAGAGUGGCGCACGGGUGAGUAACACGUGGAUAAUCUACCUGAUGAUCUGGGAUAACAUUUCGAAAGAGAUGCUAAUACCGGAUAAGCCUACGAUUCCCUAGGGUUUAGUAGGAAAAGAUGGCCUCUUCUUGAAAGCUAUUGUCAUUAGAUGAGUCCGCGGUCCAUUAGCUAGUUGGUGGGGUAAUGGCCUACCAAGGCUACGAUGGAUAGCUGGUCUGAGAGGAUGAUCAGCCACACUGGAACUGAGACACGGUCCAGACUCCUACGGGAGGCAGCAGUGGGGAAUUUUGCGCAAUGGACGAAAGUCUGACGCAGCAACGCCGCGUGAGGGAUGAAGGCCUUUGGGUCGUAAACCUCUGUCAGAGGGGAAGAAACCUCUGUCGGCUAAUACCCGACAGAACUGACGGUACCCUCAAAGGAAGCACCGGCUAACUCCGUGCCAGCAGCCGCGGUAAUACGGAGGGUGCGAGCGUUGUUCGGAAUUAUUGGGCGUAAAGCGCGUGUAGGCGGACUGUUAAGUCUGGUGUGAAAGCCCGGGGCUCAACCCCGGAAGUGCAUUGGAUACUGGCAGUCUUGAGUAUGGGAGAGGAAAGCGGAAUUCCGAGUGUAGGAGUGAAAUCCGUAGAUGUUCGGAGGAACACCAGUGGCGAAGGCGGCUUUCUGGACCAAUACUGACGCUGAGACGCGAAAGCGUGGGGAGCAAACAGGA